UAGGCGAGAUGGUCUAGUGGUAAGGACGAAGUGUUGCUAUUGCGUGAAUCCCAGGAUCGAUUCCUGGUUGUCUAA
Molecule: transfer RNA, 75 nt
Filed under: Paramuricea clavata
Lineage: Eukaryota; Metazoa; Cnidaria; Anthozoa; Malacalcyonacea; Plexauridae
Description: tRNA-Ser
Source: RNAcentral